ACUCCUACGGGAGGCAGCAGUAGGAAUUUUCCGCAAUGGACGAAAGUCUGACGGAGCAAUGCCGCGUGAGUGAUGAAGGUUUUCGAAUCGUAAAGCUCUGUUGUAAGGGAAAGAAUAGCAAGAUAGGAAAUGAUUCUUGUCUGACGGUACCUUACCAGAAAGCCACGGCUAACUACGUGCCAGCAGCCGCGGUAAUACGUAGGUGGCAAGCGUUAUCCGGAAUUAUUGGGCGUAAAGCGCAUGUAGGCGGCUUUUAAGUCUGAUGUGAAAGCCA
Molecule: ribosomal RNA, 274 nt
Filed under: uncultured bacterium
Lineage: Bacteria
Description: partial 16S ribosomal RNA
Rfam family: Bacterial small subunit ribosomal RNA
Source: RNAcentral